UACGAAGGGGGCUAGCGUUGUUCGGAUUUACUGGGCGUAAAGCGCACGUAGGCGGAUCGAUCAGUCAGGGGUGAAAUCCCGGGGCUCAACCCCGGAACUGCCUUUGAUACUGGUAGUCUUGAGUUCGAGAGAGGUGAGUGGAAUUCCGAGUGUAGAGGUGAAAUUCGUAGAUAUUCGGAGGAACACCAGUGGCGAAGGCGGCUCACUGGCCCGUAACUGACGCUGAGGCACGAAAGCGUGGGGAGCAAACAGG
RNAcentral lists this ribosomal RNA (253 nucleotides) under uncultured bacterium. RNAcentral describes it as "partial 16S ribosomal RNA". It matches the Rfam family "Bacterial small subunit ribosomal RNA", at positions 524 to 776 of the family's 1533-position model. The record is from RNAcentral.